RNAcentral lists this ribosomal RNA (466 nucleotides) under uncultured bacterium. RNAcentral describes it as "partial 16S ribosomal RNA". It matches the Rfam family "Bacterial small subunit ribosomal RNA", at positions 28 to 507 of the family's 1533-position model. The record is from RNAcentral.
GACGAACGCUGGCGGCGUGCUUAACACAUGCAAGUCGAACGGAAAGGCCUCUUUCGGGGGGUACUCGAGUGGCGAACGGGUGAGUAACACGUGAGUAACCUGCCCUUGACUUUGGGAUAACUUCAGGAAACUGGGGCUAAUACCGGAUAGGAGCUCCUGCUGCAUGGUGGGGGUUGGAAAGUUUCGGCGGUUGGGGAUGGACUCGCGGCUUAUCAGCUUGUUGGUGGGGUAGUGGCUUACCAAGGCUUUGACGGGUAGCCGGCCUGAGGGGGUGACCGGCCACAUUGGGACUGAGAUACGGCCCAGACUCCUACGGGAGGCAGCAGUGGGGAAUAUUGCACAAUGGGCGGAAGCCUGAUGCAGCAACGCCGCGUGCGGGAUGACGGCCUUCGGGUUGUAAACCGCUUUCGCCUGUGACGAAGCGUGAGUGACGGUAAUGGGUAAAGAAGCACCGGCUAACUACGUG